GUAGCUCACUGGUAGAGCACCUGCUUAGCAUGUAGGAGGCCCUGGUUUCCAUCCCCAGC
Molecule: transfer RNA, 59 nt
Filed under: Dipodomys ordii (Ord's kangaroo rat)
Lineage: Eukaryota; Metazoa; Chordata; Mammalia; Rodentia; Heteromyidae
Rfam family: tRNA
About the family: Transfer RNA (tRNA) molecules are approximately 80 nucleotides in length. Their secondary structure includes four short double-helical elements and three loops (D, anti-codon, and T loops).
Source: Rfam by way of RNAcentral